CCAAAGGCUCUUUUAAGAGCCACCCACAAUGACACAGAGAAAGCUG
Regulatory RNA element from Loxodonta africana (African savanna elephant), 46 nucleotides. It matches the Rfam family "Histone 3' UTR stem-loop". From Rfam's summary of the family: The mRNAs of metazoan histone genes lack a poly-A tail. 3' end processing occurs at a site between a highly conserved stem-loop (modelled by this family) and a purine rich region around 20 nts downstream (the histone downstream element, or HDE). NCBI's taxonomy places the organism in Eukaryota, Metazoa, Chordata, Mammalia, Proboscidea, Elephantidae. The record is from Rfam.